This 6665-nucleotide long non-coding RNA is filed under the name Olea europaea (common olive). RNAcentral describes it as "long non-coding RNA (OEUR_LNC007651)". The record is from RNAcentral. Lineage: Eukaryota; Viridiplantae; Streptophyta; Magnoliopsida; Lamiales; Oleaceae.
AAAAAAAAAGGUACGGCCUCAGUUGUCGGAAUUGUCGCCGGAGCCAUCGUUGGAGGCCGCCGGAACAGUGGCCGGAAAUGGAGAUGUUGCCAAAGGUGUCGCCGGAAGUGGAGGUGUCGCUGGAACAGUCGCUGAUGCCGGAGCAUUCGCCGAGAACUCGCCGGACGUGGGGUGGGGUCUCAGAGGUGGGGUGGUGUUGGGGAGGGGGGAGAGAAAAUAAUUUGAAUUUAAAAUUUGGUGUGAUGGGAGGGUGGGUGAGUGGGUGGGGUGGGUUUGGUGGAUUAAUUAUAUUAUAAUUAAAUAUUUAAUAUUUAAUAAAUUUAAUUAUCACCUUUUUUUUGAAAUGUUUUAAAAAGUUUGUUAAUUUUGAAAUGUGAAUUUUAAAUGAAGGGAUCAUGUGGUCUUCCCUAGAUUAUAUCGUAAAAUAAACUUGAUUUGGGUCAUUUUAGUAUUUUGGUUUGGGCUUGUUAAUUAUUAUAUUUAAAUGGUCCAUGACCCCACAUCUAGAACAAUUAAUAUUUUAGAAUUAUUCAUGCCCUAGAGUACCCAAUUCUAUUUCUCGAUGUAUAGUUAUUGAUUUUUCUAUUUCUAUUUUUACGAUGCAUACUUCAAGUUGCAUGGUGCCUUCCAUAUCCGAUAAACUUUAUCUUCUUUGCAUUUGAUUGUAAGCCUUGAAAAUGCUUAACAUCCACCUUUUCUUGAGCUUCCCGAUUUAACUAAGAAAACAUCAAGCUGAAAAAUAUUCAACUGAUCUUCAGACAUUUGAAAAAAAUUUCUCCUCUUGGGACAUAUAUAUAUAGUCCUUGAACCCAAACACACCUAAUCUAUAUUCCAAUUUGGUCCAUGAUAUUUGGUUAAUGUGCAUUUCAGUCCCCUCAAUUGGACAAUGUGCAAUUCAAUUAUUGAAGCCAGGGCCAGUCAUAAUAUUUUGGGGGCCUUAUUCCAACUUUAAAUACAAGGCCCUAUUGAUGGAAAAUCGUUGUAUUAUUACUUGAACCUUCCUAUAGAGAGUUUUAAUAUAAUUAUGAAUAAUCUAAUACAGACAAUUAAACUCCAAAAUUUGAAGAGGAAAAUAACGAAAUGUCAAAAGUUAACAUGCAAUACAAAUUAUAAGUGAAGUUUGGCAUGCUAAAUUAUAAUGUAAUGGCAAAGGACUCUGUUCAUUUCCUUGAUCAUUUUCUCACUGCAACUAUUUAAAACGUAAUUGAAUGUGCAUUUGAGUGACUUAAGUACAAAAUCAAAAAAAUAUUCACUACGAGAGAUUGUAUAACAAAAUAAUGAAAAUGACGAUCAAAUACAAAUGAGCUCCUAAUUUUAUAUUAAUUCACACUAAAUUAACUUAAAAUUAAGAAGUAUGAACACAGACAAAUAAUUAUUAAAUUCAAAGUACCUUUAAUAAGCAUCUAAAAGGUUAUUAUCAUGAGAUUAAAGCAAAACAAUAAUAAUAACAGCUUAUAAACUUUGUAAUAUAUGUUUUGAAGAUAAAGGAUAAAAUGAAAAACUUGUAAGGCUACACAGUGAUACCAAACCAAUCUGUUAAAUUGAAUUUUCAAAAUUUUAAUUCCACAUGAGAUAAUUCAUUUCUUGUUUGGUUGAAAAAAAAUUAUGAUGGGUUACUAUUAGACGUAGGAUUUGAAGAGACAUUUUUGUUUGAUUAAGAAAAUAAAAUGGAUGUUCAGUAGAUAAAUGGUCAAAUUACCUUUACAGAGACAGAGUAAUGUUUGUGAUAUUAUUUAUAUGAUAAAUAACUGCAAGUGAUAAGCUUUGUGCCAUUUAUUUAUUUUUCUGAAGAUUUUAGUAUUCCCAAUUUUUAUUAGUUUCUUGUGUUUGCAUAUUGAUAAUUCUAUUUUAAAGAAUUUUAGAAUAUGAUUUUUGCUUUUCGUCAACCAAUUAACCUUACAUAAUUUGGAAUCCUCAUCAAAGUGGAGUUUUAAACGAUCGUCUAUCUCGCUAAUAGUCAGGGCCGCCACUGAUUGAAGCCCAAGAUGAAUCUGUUGUGGCCAGAUGCAUUGGAUGAAUCUGUUGUAGCCGCUACACCUCUCACAUGAGGUUGGGUCCCAUGUGGGGGUCAUGACGUGGCGUCCGACCCGCAUGUGAGAGGAGGAAAUGAACCCGAGUAAACUAAAGUGUGAACAGACAAGUACAAGUAGUAUGACCCAUACUUUUAUAUACGUUGUUUGCACUAUGAAAAUUAGGACCCUCCGUAACCGCCAUUUUGGACAUUUUUGGCCAUAUUUUCAGCAAUAAGGACUUUCCAUUAGCGGACUUACAUAAUCCAUUCAAAAAAUUUCAGAAUGGAUGAAUCUGGACAUAUGAAUGGCCAUAUUUUCAGCAAUAAGGACUUUUCCAUUAGCGGACUUACAUAAUCCAUUCAAAAAAUUUCAGAAUGGAUGAAUCUGGACAUAUGUGUGUCAAGGUUCAUUAUCAAAUGCCAGCAACUUAACUUGUUUUUUCUUCGAUUUCCACACUGGUCUUUCAUCCAAAUCCUCAUUUUUACAGAUAAAGACCCCCCAAUUAUGAAUUGACCUAAUCCCAUUCUAAUUGGAGCCAAGAUGUUAGGGAGAGUUGGGUGAAUCGAGACAAAAAAUAACACUUAGCCAAAUAAAAAGGUUCACGACAUACCUUAGACGAUCAAUGCAGAGUUCACAGCCUUUUUUAAUUUUGCCGAGUACCUUGUGCUUAGACUGGUCAUUUGAAAUGCAGCACGCCUAGGCAGGCCAUUUAGAAUAGAAUUGACAUAAUGUCACAGGACAUCAUAUUAUUGGACUGUUUAAAAUACGUUUAUCUUUUUCUUCCAAUCACAUUUUAAAAAUAUUUUUCUGUCAAAGUAUCAUAUAGUCUAAAUCUAAGCGACCAUCUAUAUUAUUAUUAAUAAUUAAAGAUAAGAUAAAAAAAAAUUACUUUAACUAUCAAUUUAAAAUCUUGCACAAAUUAUAGAGUAUGUUUGGUGUAAAUUUUUGAGAAUAGAAUUUUUUCAAAAUAUAUGAUUAAAAAGUAGAGAAAAAUUAUGAUUUUAUAUGUAAAAUUAUUUUAUUUAAAAUAAUAUGAAAUUAAAAAUGAAUUUAAGGGAAAAAAAAUAUUAAACAAUCUCCAACAAAUUGGAGUUGUGAGAAUGGAUGAAUUUAAUUUGAUUCCUUUCGGUUUGAUUCCUUUCGACGUGAAGUAAAGACAAAAUAAUACAAUAUUCAAUUUGAUUCCUUUCGUCAUCACUUACUUCACUUCGAAGUUGACCGAGAAAUCCACACUCCUUUGAUGGCAUCUGUAAGGGGACAUUGAUUCAAUCUACUCAUAGAAUCUGCCAAAGGAAAAUGUCUGGAAUUCAAGAAAUCUCGUCCCCUCUUAGUAAGCAAGCAUGCAGUUAUUACAUCAAUUCUUGUUUUUAAAAUUCGAUUUGAAUCUGAAAUGAAAAUGUGCAGUUCAGAAGCCGGAAUCGCAUGCCUCGCCGGAGACGGAGGAGGAACAAGAAAACUCUCCUAUCGAGCAAGUAGCACUCACGGUGCCGGUCACCGACGAUCCGACCCUGCCCGUAGUCACCUUCCGGAUGUGGACCCUAGGGGCUGUGGCUUGUACUCUUCUCUCGUUUCUCAACCAAUUCUUCUGGUAUCGCCGCGAGCCUCUUUCGAUCACCGCAAUCUCCGCCCAGAUUGCCGUGAUACCCCUGGGCCACCUCAUGGCGGCGGCGAUUACGCGAAGAGUGUUCUUCAAGGGGCGGAAUUGGGAAUUUAGUUUGAAUCCUGGUCCGUUUAAUGUGAAGGAGCAUGUACUGAUCACUAUUUUUGCGAAUUCAGGGGCGGGAAAUCCUUACGCGAUUCAUAUUGUUAGUGCUGUGAAGAUAUUUUAUAAACAGAGGUUGAGCUUCUGGGUGGCGCUGGCGGUGGUUCUGACGACUCAGGUUUUGGGAUUUGGAUGGGCAGGGCUUUUUCGAAGGUACUUGGUCGAGCCCGCUGCUAUGUGGUGGCCCCAAAACCUUGUUCAGGUGUCUUUGUUCAGGUAUAAGCUACUUCUCGAAACUUGCGUUUUGUAUGAUUCAUUGUUAUUGCCCCCGGUCCAGCCUGACAAAGAGGUGGAUUAUGAGGUUAUUUUCUUAAGUCACCCUUUUGGCCUUUCUUCUUCAUAUGUGUCUGUUUUGGUUCUUUGAAUUGCACAAUAUAUAGAAAAUUUAUAAUGGGAAAAAAGGAUAGAAAGAAUAGAAUGUACUCUUAAUACAAAACUUUACAAUAUCAAGUAUAACACCUUGAUGUUCCUUUAUAAGGAAUUUAGCUUUAGUAUUGUCAACUAGUGUGUAACCUCAAGUUUCCUCGUAACUCUUUGUUUUGCAUUUUGCUUGAAACCACGUGUGUUGAUUGGAUGACUCAUUGAUUUGUAGCUUUAGUUUUAUUCAAACUUGAAUAACCUGAAUUUGAGGUUAGUUUUUCGAUUCAUGGAACUAGAUUAUGACAGUCUUUUGACUUCGUUUUCAAAUAUACUUGUCUUUAGUUUGAGUAAUUUGGCUAUUGUCUUGCCUUGUUUUGAGAAUUACUUAAUACUUGUGAUUGUUUAAUGAUGAAGCUGCUCUUUUUAUUGCAUACGGCUAAAAUGACACCCUUCUUUUUCUUUCUGUUCCCAUUUAGAACUUCUUUUUAGCAUGACUUGUGCAAAGUACAAACAGGUUAUGUUCUGUUCGAUGACUAACAGGGAUGAAUAGAACUUAUUAGUGAGCUAUGUUUCUACCUUCCAAAUUUUGUUCUUUUAACUAUUGAUUCUUUUCCAAGUCUCAUUCAAAAUAGAUUUUAGUCUAAGGGAGGCGCCGAGGCGUUAUGUAUUAACUAAACUGAUGAGGACAUCCUUUAUAGUUGGACUUUUAUUAUUGUUUCAGUAUUUUAGUUGGACUUUUAUUUAAGUUUACGUAUUUUAAUUAGGACUUGAAUAAUGGGCUUGGCCCUAUAUUUCUAGGUUUUCAUUAUUUAAACCUAUCAUUGGUUUGUAAUUUCUCGGUUGAUGAAUUGAUUAAGAAUUAUAAAGUUGGCUUGGCCGUUUUCUCUCCUCCUCCCCGUUUCUGCCUUCUUCUUCUCUUCUCCUCCCCUUCCCUUCUUGUUAUUUACUAAUUCAGUAAUCUCCCUACAUCAAAUUGGUAUCAGAGCAAACCCUGGACAGCAAUUCAUACACCAUCCAUACCAAAACCCGUUGCUGCAGACAAUAUACUUACUUGCAGAACCUAGUUUCACGCCUCCACCUCCCCAUCCGUCACAUAGUACACCUGUUUACCCAACUCGUCCACAGCAACCAUAUACACUGCUACAAUCAGUAACCACCCCACACACAAUCUACUAAGCCACCAGAAACUACCAGCAAAGGCAGCACCCUACUGCGGUCACCUCAUCGACGGCGCUACUUGCUUCAUGCUUCCCCCGGUCGACACCCAGCAAUCUCCCAACUAUAAGACUGCAGCAGCCGAGUGCGCGACCCAAGGCGUCGCCGCCAGUAGACCGGCGCCCCACAGUUGACACUCUCCUUCGAGUUCACGCAUCCCAGCCGCCGACUCCCAUUGCAAUCGGGUGUGGGUAUGAGUUAUGGUUAGGGGUUAAUUAGCUUAAGAAUUACGUGGGUUGGGUUAUUGAUUAUUAGUUGGGUUUAGGUUNNNNNNNNNNNNNNNNGGGUUUUAUUUUAUUGUUGGGUUGGGUUAAUUGGAUUCUUAAUUAAUUGGUUUAAUGAUUAAGUGGGUUGGUUUAUUGGUUAACAAUUAGGUUUGGGCUAAAGUUCAAUUGGGCUGAUUUAUUUGUGUUGCUUGGGCUUGGGCUUGUUUAAUGUUUGAGUGUGAUUUAGGCCCAAAUUUGUGAAAUGGGCUCAUUUAUUAUUUUGUUAUUCUGAUUUUGUAUUAUUAUUAAAAAAAAAAAGAAAAAAAAAAGAAAAAAAGAAAAGAAAAGAAAAGAAAAGAGAAGAGCAAAAAAAAAGGCAUCGUGAAUUUUAAAUUUUCUGACAUCAUUUACAGGUUCAUUUUAGUUGACUGUUCAGUACCGCACCUCGACGAGCACGGAAUUUUCUAUCUUGGCAUCUCAGGGCUUAGUAGUUCAGAACGUGGAGACAUUCGACGCUGGGACGACUCAAACCAACAGUACUCAGGGAGUUCCUGAUCCUAUUUAUUAUUAGUUGACGCUAUUUCUUUAUUUUAGAAUUGCAUCAAUUAAUUCUAUGUGUGCUGGCCAUUUGAUAAUACUGCCUUAAACCUAUUCGAUUAUAUUUCACGAGCUAAAUUCCAUUACUCAAUCGUUUACCCCACGUGACUAGGCCUAGUAUUUGGACAUUUGCUUUUCUAUUUUAUUAGCAUUAGUAGUAUUAGCUUGCGAUCGAGCCAUAAGUAACCCCAACCUUUAAAUUGACAAAAUAACAAAAAAAUAAUAAUAAUAAUAAUAAAUAAAUAAAUAAAUAAGUAAUAAUAAUAAUAAUUUCAAUAACUAAUUUUUCGGUUGGCACUAGUUGAUUGUUGAUUAUUGAUCUCAGUAGUGCACUUUACGUAGUCGUGUUACCGUGUAUGCAAUUGCGUAGUGGUCGCGUUACUGCCUCUAGCUCUAGUAACCUAACCAUGGACCCCGCCCAAAUUGAGGCCCUCACCAGACAGCUUGCACAAUUACAAAAUCAACUAACAGCUGUCCAAACUGAGGUAGCCGCUACUCGUGAAGAGAAUANNN